RNAcentral lists this transfer RNA (66 nucleotides) under Gampsocleis sinensis. Its description in RNAcentral is "tRNA-His". It matches the Rfam family "tRNA". From Rfam's summary of the family: Transfer RNA (tRNA) molecules are approximately 80 nucleotides in length. Their secondary structure includes four short double-helical elements and three loops (D, anti-codon, and T loops). Further hydrogen bonds mediate the characteristic L-shaped molecular structure. tRNAs have two regions of fundamental functional importance: the anti-codon, which is responsible for specific mRNA codon recognition, and the 3' end, to which the tRNAs corresponding amino acid is attached (by aminoacyl-tRNA synthetases). tRNAs cope with the degeneracy of the genetic code in two manners: having more than one tRNA (with a specific anti-codon) for a particular amino acid; and 'wobble' base-pairing, i.e. permitting non-standard base-pairing at the 3rd anti-codon position. The record is from RNAcentral. Lineage: Eukaryota; Metazoa; Arthropoda; Insecta; Orthoptera; Tettigoniidae.
GUUUAAAUAGUUUAAUGAUAAAAUGUUGGUUUGUGAUACCAAAGAUGUGGGUAUCUACUUUAAACC